UACGUAGGGUGCAAGCGUUAAUCGGAAUUACUGGGCGUAAAGCGUGCGCAGGCGGUGAUGUAAGACAGGUGUGAAAUCCCCGGGCUUAACCUGGGAACUGCAUUUGUGACUGCAUCGCUGGAGUGCGGCAGAGGGGGAUGGAAUUCCGCGUGUAGCAGUGAAAUGCGUAGAUAUGCGGAGGAACACCGAUGGCGAAGGCAGCCCUCCG
This 208-nucleotide ribosomal RNA is filed under the name uncultured bacterium. RNAcentral's name for it is "partial 16S ribosomal RNA". It matches the Rfam family "Bacterial small subunit ribosomal RNA", at positions 524 to 731 of the family's 1533-position model. The record is from RNAcentral.